This 403-nucleotide ribosomal RNA is filed under the name bacterium. RNAcentral describes it as "partial 16S ribosomal RNA". It matches the Rfam family "Bacterial small subunit ribosomal RNA", at positions 355 to 776 of the family's 1533-position model. The record is from RNAcentral.
UGGGGAAUAUUGCACAAUGGGGGAAACCCUGAUGCAGCGACGCCGCGUGAACGAAGAAGGUAUUCGUAUCGUAAAGUUCUGUCCUAUGGGAAGAUAAUGACAGUACCAUAGAAGAAAGCUCCGGCUAAAUACGUGCCAGCAGCCGCGGUAAUACGUAUGGAGCGAGCGUUGUCCGGAAUUAUUGGGCGUAGAGGGUACGCAGGCGGUUUAAUAAGUCGAAUGUUAAAGAUCGGGGCUCAACCCCGCAAAGCAUUGGAAACUGAUAAACUUGAGUAGUGGAGAGGAAAGUGGAAUUCCUAGUGUAGUGGUGAAAUACGUAGAUAUUAGGAGGAAUACCAGUAGCGAAGGCGACUUUCUGGACACAAACUGACGCUGAGGUACGAAAGCGUGGGGAGCAAACAGG